This 252-nucleotide ribosomal RNA is filed under the name uncultured bacterium. RNAcentral describes it as "partial 16S ribosomal RNA". It matches the Rfam family "Bacterial small subunit ribosomal RNA", at positions 524 to 776 of the family's 1533-position model. The record is from RNAcentral.
UACGGAGGAUGCGAGCGUUAUCCGGAUUUAUUGGGUUUAAAGGGUGCGUAGGCGGACUGUCAAGUCAGCGGUAAAAUUGAGAGGCUCAACCCCUUCCCGCCGUUGAAACUGGUGGUCUUGAGUGGAUGAGAAGUACGCGGAAUGCGUGGUGUAGCGGUGAGAUGCAUAGAUAUCACGCAGAACUCCGAUUGCGAAGGCAGCGUACCGGCAUCCAACUGACGCUGAGGCACGAAAGCGUGGGGAUCAAACAGG